RNAcentral lists this ribosomal RNA (330 nucleotides) under Triticum aestivum (bread wheat). RNAcentral's name for it is "partial small subunit ribosomal RNA". The record is from RNAcentral. Lineage: Eukaryota; Viridiplantae; Streptophyta; Magnoliopsida; Poales; Poaceae.
AUGAAUGGGAUUUUUCGGCAGCAGGGAGAUUUGCGAUUUUGCGAGAGAGGAGGGGAAUCUGCGGGCGGCAAGUCGUCGUUGUGCUUGGCAUCGAAUGCAUUAUUUCUAUUGGCAGCUCAUGAGGAAAGUUGGGAAUCAACUGCAUUUGUUGUGAUCGAUUUGUACAAAGGAUACUUGCUUUUGCAAUGUAUUGCCUCGAGUAGUGGCCAGUGCUCAGAAUAUGAUACCGUGAGUCUGCCUAUCAUUUCAGAACAUUCAGCAACUGAACCUUUUUAUCUCUUCUCCGGUUAUUUAAUCGAGUUCAAGUUUCAGUAUGUUAUAUUCAAGUAG